CGAUUGGUUCUAUUUUGUUGGUUUCUAGGACCAUCGUAAUGAUUAAUAGGGACGGUCGGGGGCAUCAGUAUUCAGUUGUCAGAGGUGAAAUUCUUGGAUUUACUGAAGACUAACUACUGCGAAAGCAUUUGUCAAGGACGUUUUCAUUAAUCAAGAACGAAAGUUAGGGGAUCGAAGAUGAUCAGAUACCGUCGUAGUCUUAACCAUAAACUAUGCCGACUAGGGAUCGGGCGGUGCCUUUUAUUGGCCCACUCGGCACCUUACGAGAAAUCAAAGUUUUUGGGUUCUGGGGGGAGUAUGGUCGCAAGGCUGAAACUUAAAGGAAUUGACGGAAGGGCACCACCAGGAGUGGAGCCUGCGGCUUAAUUUGACUCAACACGGGGAAACUCACCAGGUCCAGACACAAUAAGGAUUGACAGAUUGAGAGCUCUUUCUUGAUUUUGUGGGUGGUGGUGCAUGGCCGUUCUUAGUUGGUGGAGUGAUUUGUCUGCUUAAUUGCGAUAACGAACGAGACCUUAACCCUUAAAUAGAGUUGCUGGCGUUUGCUGGUAAAUCUUCUUAUGGGGACUAUCGAUUUCAAGUCGAUGGAAGUUUGAGGCAAUAACAGGUCUGUGAUGCCCUUAGACGUUCUGGGCCGCACGCGCGCUACACUGACGGAGCCAGCGAGCUUUUCCUUAACCGAGAGGUUUGGGUAAUCUUGUGAAACUCCGUCGUGC
RNAcentral lists this ribosomal RNA (716 nucleotides) under uncultured fungus. RNAcentral's name for it is "SSU rRNA". It matches the Rfam family "Eukaryotic small subunit ribosomal RNA", at positions 827 to 1570 of the family's 1831-position model. Lineage: Eukaryota; Fungi. The record is from RNAcentral.